GUUCCUGUAGCGCAAUGGAUAGCGCGUUAGACUUCUAAUCUAAAGGGCUUAGGUUCGAAUCCUACCUGGGAUG
Non-coding RNA from Trichonephila clavipes, 73 nucleotides. The record is from the annotation of a GenBank genome assembly. NCBI's taxonomy places the organism in Eukaryota, Metazoa, Arthropoda, Arachnida, Araneae, Nephilidae.